This 1002-nucleotide ribosomal RNA is filed under the name uncultured organism. Its description in RNAcentral is "bacterial SSU rRNA". It matches the Rfam family "Bacterial small subunit ribosomal RNA", at positions 356 to 1376 of the family's 1533-position model. The record is from RNAcentral.
GGGGAAUAUUGGGCAAUGGGCGCAAGCCUGACCCAGCAACGCCGCGUGAAGGAAGAAGGCCCUCGGGUUGUAAACUUCUUUUCUUAGGGACGAAGCAAGUGACGGUACCUAAGGAAUAAGCCACGGCUAACUACGUGCCAGCAGCCGCGGUAAUACGUAGGUGGCAAGCGUUAUCCGGAUUUACUGGGUGUAAAGGGCGUGUAGGCGGGAGUGUAAGUCAGAUGUGAAAACUAUGGGCUCAACCCAUAGCCUGCAUUUGAAACUGCAUUUCUUGAGUACUGGAGAGGCAGACGGAAUUCCUAGUGUAGCGGUGAAAUGCGUAGAUAUUAGGAGGAACACCAGUGGCGAAGGCGGUCUGCUGGACAGCAACUGACGCUGAGGCGCGAAAGCGUGGGGAGCAAACAGGAUUAGAUACCCUGGUAGUCCACGCUGUAAACGAUGGAUACUAGGUGUGGGGGGUCUGACCCCCUCCGUGCCGCAGUUAACACAAUAAGUAUCCCACCUGGGGAGUACGAUCGCAAGGUUGAAACUCAAAGGAAUUGACGGGGGCCCGCACAAGCGGUGGAGUAUGUGGUUUAAUUCGAAGCAACGCGAAGAACCUUACCAGGGCUUGACAUCCUACUAACGAGGUAGAGAUACGUUAGGUGCCCUUCGGGGAAGGUAGAGACAGGUGGUGCAUGGUUGUCGUCAGCUCGUGUCGUGAGAUGUUGGGUUAAGUCCCGCAACGAGCGCAACCCUUAUUGUUAGUUGCUACGCAAGAGCACUCUAGCGAGACUGCCGUUGACAAAACGGAGGAAGGUGGGGACGACGUCAAAUCAUCAUGCCCCUUAUGUCCUGGGCCACACACGUACUACAAUGGUGGUCAACAGAGGGAAGCAAUCCCGCGAGGAGGAGCAAAUCCCUAAAAGCCAUCCCAGUUCGGAUCGCAGGCUGCAACCCGCCUGCGUGAAGUUGGAAUCGCUAGUAAUCGCGGAUCAGCAUGCCGCGGUGAAUACGUUCCCG